UAGGGAAUAUUGGGCAAUGGGCGCAAGCCUGACCCAGCCAUGCCGCGUGCAGGAAGAAGGCGUUAUGCGUUGUAAACUGCUUUUAUAUAGGAAGAAAAAGCUUUUGCGAAAGACAUUGACGGUACUAUAUGAAUAAGCACCGGCUAACUCCGUGCCAGCAGCCGCGGUAAUACGGAGGGUGCAAGCGUUGUCCGGAUUUAUUGGGUUUAAAGGGUGCGUAGGCGGCUUCUUAAGUCAGCGGUGAAAGCCGAUUGCUCAACAAUCGAACUGCCGUUGAUACUGAUUAGCUUGAGUUUGAUUGAGGCAGCCGGAAUGGAUAGUGUAGCGGUGAAAUGCAUAGAUAUUAUCCAGAACGCCAAUAGCGUAGGCAGGUUGCUAAGUCAUUACUGACGCUGAGGCA
This 400-nucleotide ribosomal RNA is filed under the name uncultured bacterium. Its description in RNAcentral is "bacterial SSU rRNA". It matches the Rfam family "Bacterial small subunit ribosomal RNA", at positions 355 to 753 of the family's 1533-position model. The record is from RNAcentral.